This 273-nucleotide ribosomal RNA is filed under the name uncultured bacterium. RNAcentral's name for it is "partial 16S ribosomal RNA". It matches the Rfam family "Bacterial small subunit ribosomal RNA", at positions 85 to 354 of the family's 1533-position model. The record is from RNAcentral.
CCGCCGGCGACCGGCGCACGGGUGAGUAACACGUAUGCAACCUGGCCGUGACAGAUGGAUAACCGGGAGAAAUCCCGCCUAAUACAACAUAAUGCCGGGAGGGGACAUCCCCUGCCGGCCAAAGGGGGCGACCCCGGUCACGGACGGGCAUGCGGCGCAUUAGGUAGUUGGUGGGGCAACGGCCCACCAAGCCGACGAUGCGUAGGGGUUCUGAGAGGAAGGUCCCCCACAUUGGAACUGAGACACGGUCCAAACUCCUACGGAAGGCAGCAG